This 402-nucleotide ribosomal RNA is filed under the name uncultured bacterium. RNAcentral's name for it is "bacterial SSU rRNA". It matches the Rfam family "Bacterial small subunit ribosomal RNA", at positions 29 to 417 of the family's 1533-position model. The record is from RNAcentral.
AGCGAACGCUGGCGGCGUGCCUAACACAUGCAAGUCGAACGUGAAAAGGGGCAACCCUGAGUAAAGUGGCGUACGGGUGAGUAACACGUAGGUAAUCUACCUGAGAGUCUGGAAUAACCGGCCGAAAGGCUGGCUAAUACUGGAUAGAGCGACGAAAUCCGUAAUUGGGUUUCUCGGGAAAGGGAGGAAGCAAUUCCCUUCGCUCUCAGAUGAGCCUGCGUCCCAUCAGCUAGUUGGUAAGGAAUGGCUUACCAAGGCAAUGACGGGUAGCUGGUCUGAGAGGAUGAUCAGCCACACUGGAACUGAAACACGGUCCAGACUCCUACGGGAGGCAGCAGUGGGGAAUCUUGCGCAAUGGACGAAAGUCUGACGCAAGCCACGCCGCGUGAGUGAAGAAGGCCU